AACGAACGCUGGCGGCAGGCCUAACACAUGCAAGUCGAACGCUGUAGCAAUACAGAGUGGCGCACGGGUGAGUAACGCGUAGGAAUCUACCCAUUAGCCUGGGAUAACAGCGGGAAACUGCUGCUAAUACCGGAUACGCCCUUCGGGGGAAAGGUUUACUACUAAUGGAUGAGCCUGCGUUAGAUUAGCUAGUUGGUGAGGUAAUGGCUCACCAAGGCUCCGAUCUAUAGCCGGUCUGAGAGGACGAUCGGCCACACUGGGACUGAGACACGGCCCAGACUCCUACGGGAGGCAGCAGUGGGGAAUAUUGGGCAAUGGACGCAAGUCUGACCCAGCCAUGCCGCGUGUGUGAUGAAGGCCUUAGGGUUGUAAAGCACUUUUAGUAGUGAAGAUGAUGACAGUAGCUACAGAAAAAGCCCCGGCUAACUUCGUGCCAGCCGCCGCAGUAA
This 449-nucleotide ribosomal RNA is filed under the name uncultured bacterium. RNAcentral's name for it is "partial 16S ribosomal RNA". It matches the Rfam family "Bacterial small subunit ribosomal RNA", at positions 29 to 523 of the family's 1533-position model. The record is from RNAcentral.